RNAcentral lists this ribosomal RNA (861 nucleotides) under uncultured archaeon. RNAcentral describes it as "bacterial SSU rRNA". It matches the Rfam family "Archaeal small subunit ribosomal RNA", at positions 26 to 893 of the family's 1478-position model. The record is from RNAcentral.
ACUGCUAUCGGAUUGAUACUAAGCCAUGCGAGUCUUUGUAGCAAUACAAGGCAGACGGCUCAGUAACACGUAGUCAAUCUACCCUAUGGACGGGGAUAACCUCGGGAAACUGAGAAUAAUACCCGAUAGAUCAUUAUGCCUGGAAUGGUUUAUGGUCGAAAUGAUUUAUCGCCGUAGGAUGGGACUGCGGUCUAUCAGCUUGUUGGUGAGGUAAUGGCCCACCAAGGCUAUAACAGAUACGGGCUCUGAGAGGAGAAGCCCGGAGAUGGGUACUGAGACACGGACCCAGGCCCUAUGGGGCGCAGCAGGCGAGAAAACUUUGCAAUGUGCGAAAGCACGACAAGGUUAAUCCGAGUGUUUUCUGCUAAAGAAAUCUUUUGUCAGUCCUAAAAACACUGAUGAAUAAGGGGUGGGCAAGUUCUGGUGUCAGCCGCCGCGGUAAAACCAGCACCUCAAGUGGUCAGGAGGAUUAUUGGGCCUAAAGCAUCCGUAGCCGGCCAUGUAAGUUUUCGGUCAAAUCUAUACGCUCAACGUAUAGGCUGCCGGGAAUACUGCACAGCUAGGGAGUGGGAGAGGUAGACGGUACUCGGUAGGAAGGGGUAAAAUCCUUUGAUCUAUUGAUGACCACCUGUGGCGAAGGCGGUCUACUAGAACACGUCCGACGGUGAGGGAUGAAAGCUGGGGGAGCAAACCGGAUUAGAUACCCGGGUAGUCCCAGCUGUAAACAAUGCAAACUCAGUGAUGCACUGGCUUGUGGCCAGUGCAGUGCCGCAGGGAAGCCGUUAAGUUUGCCGCCUGGGAAGUACGUACGCAAGUAUGAAACUUAAAGGAAUUGGCGGGGGAGCACCACAAGGGGUGAAG